AAAAUUUUUUCUGUUUACCUCCAACAAUUGGUAUCAGAGCAAGAAAGUUCUUAGAGGGCUGUGUACUUGAGAGAAAACAAGUAAGAUUUUCAAUUUUAGUUAGCCAAAGACCAAACACUUUUCCCUGUUUUUCUUCAUGGCUAUGAGCAGCAUCUCUCUAGCCACACCUCCAGUUUUUUCUGGAGAAAAUUAUCAGAUUUGGGCAACUAAAAUGAAGACUUAUUUGAAAGCUUUUGACUUGUGGAAUGCUGUGGAAACAGGUGAGGAUCCUCCACCCUUACGAGCUAAUCCUACAUUGGCUCAAAUCAAGAAUCACAAUGAAGAAAGCAUGAAAAAAUUUAAAGCUCUCACUUGCAUUCAAACGGCAGUUUCAGACAGCAUUUUCACUCGCAUCAUGGCUUGUGAAACAGCAAAAGAAGCAUGGGAUAAGCUAAAAGAAGAAUUUCAAGGCAGUGAAAGAACAAUCCAGAUGCGUGUGCUCAACUUAAGAAGAGAAUUUGAGAAUUUGAAGAUGAAGGAUUCAGAUACUGUUCAAGAGUUCACUGAUAGACUUUUGAAGGUUGUGAAUCAAAUCAGAAUGCUUGGUGAGGAGUUGACAGAUAAAAGAGUAGUUGAAAAAGUACUUGUAAGCUUGCCAGAGAAAUUUGAGUCAAAAAUUUCUUCUCUUGAAGAAUCAAGAGACCUCUCAAAGCUUCCAUUAACAGAGCUUGUCAAUGCCUUGCAAGCAACUGAGCAAAGAAGAUUUAUUAGACAAGAAGACUCUGCUGAGGGAGCAUUUCAAGCAAAACACAAUGACAAACCCAAAUCUGAUGGUGGAAGAAAAAACCAAAAGGGAAAGGGCAAGAAAGAUGGUGAAAGCAGCAGGUGGAAAGACAAGAAAAAAUUUCCUACAUGUCCACAUUGCAAGAAAACUACUCAUGCUGAGAAGUUUUGCUGGUAUCAUCCUAAUGUGCAAUGUAAAAAUUGCAAGAAAUAUGGACAUGCUGAUAAAGUGUGUAAAGCUCAUCCUCAACAGCAACAAGGACAACAGGCACAAAUGGCAGAAGGUCAAACUCAACAGGAGGAGCAAUUAUUUGUUGCUUCCUUUAACUCAGCUUGUAUUGAUGCAGACUCUUGGUUAGUUGAUAGUGGCUGUACUCAUCAUAUGUCCUUUGAUGAAAGCUUAUUCAAAGAGCUUGAUGAAAAUUACACUUCAAAAGUCAGAAUUGGGAAUGGUGAGUUUGUGGAGGUGAAAGGGAAAGGAGUCAUUUCAAUUCAGACUUCAUCAGGUACAAAACUGAUCUCUGAUGUUCUUUGGGUGCCUAAAAUCAAUCAAAAUUUGUUGAGUGUGCCUCAAAUGCUUGAAAAAGGAUACUCCUUGAUUUUCAAAGAUAAAUCCUGCACAAUCAUUGAUCCUAAUGGCACUAAGCUUUGUUCAUUAAAGAUGAGAGGUAAAAGCUUCACUUUAAACUUUGAUCAAUCAAAUAUACAUGCCAUGUCUUCUGUCAAUGAUGUUUCUGCUUUAUGGCAUAGAAGAUUGGGUCAUUGUAAUUACACUUCACUUGAAUACAUGUCUACACAUGAUCUAGCUACAAAUUUACCAACUUUGAAAACUAGUAGUGCUGUAUGUAAAGUUUGUCAAUUUGGAAAGCAAAAUAAGCUUCCAUUUUCUGCAAAUCAAGCAUGGAGAGCUUCUAGCAAGCUGGAACUCAUUCAUUCGGAUGUUUGUGGUCCUAUGAAGACUUCCUCAUUAAAUGGGAGCAGAUAUUUUGUGGUGUUUAUUGAUGAUUUCACAAGAUUUUGUUGGGUUUACUUUCUUAAGCAUAAAUCUGAAGUUUUUGCUGUGUUUCAAAGAUUCAAAUCUUUGGUAGAAAAUCAAAUUGAAUCCAAGAUCAAGAUGUUUCGUUCUGAUAAUGGAACGGAGUAUACUUCUUCAGAAUUCUCUCAAUUUCUUCAAAAGGCUGGGAUUCAUCAUCAACUUUCAGCUCCUUAUACUCCUCAACAAAAUGGAGUAUGUGAAAGGAAGAACAGAACAGUCUUGGCUAUGGCAAGAUGUCUAUUAUUUGAGAAGAAUAUUCCCAAAAAUUUCUGGGCUGAAGCAGUCAAUACUUCAGUCUAUUUGUUAAAUAGACUUCCAACGAAAGCUCUUGAGAACAAAACUCCAUAUGAAGCCUGGCACGGUGUGAAACCAUCACUUGAUCAUCUCAAGGUCUUUGGUUGCAUUUGUUAUUUCCAUGUUCCACAAGCAAAAAGAGAUAAGCUAGAUCAAAGAUCAAUUGCUGGUAUUUUUCUAGGAUACAGCAGCUAUUCAAAAGGUUAUAGAAUCCUUGAUAUGAGAUCGAAAAAAG
This 2327-nucleotide unclassified non-coding RNA is filed under the name Hevea brasiliensis (rubber tree). Lineage: Eukaryota; Viridiplantae; Streptophyta; Magnoliopsida; Malpighiales; Euphorbiaceae. The record is from RNAcentral.